CCUACGGGAGGCAGCAGUGGGGAAUUUUGGACAAUGGGCGCAAGCCUGAUCCAGCCAUGCCGCGUGUCUGAAAAGGCCUUCGGGUUGUAAAGGACUUUUUAGAGAGCGGCGGUACCUGAAGAAUAAGCACCGGCUAACUACGUGCCAGCAGCCGCGGUAAUACGUAGGGUGCGAGCGUUAAUCGGAAUUACUGGGCGUAAAGCGAGCGCAGACGGUUACUUAAGCAGGAUGUGAAAUCCCCGGGCUCAACCUGGGAACUGCGUUCUGAACUGGGUGACUAGAGUGUGUCAGAGGGAGGUAGAAUUCCACGUGUAGCAGUGAAAUGCGUAGAGAUGUGGAGGAAUACCGAUGGCGAAGGCAGCCUCCUGGGAUAAACUGACGUUCAUGCUCGAAAGCGUGGGUAGCAAACAGGAUUAGAUACCCUUGUAGUC
RNAcentral lists this ribosomal RNA (431 nucleotides) under uncultured bacterium. RNAcentral describes it as "partial 16S ribosomal RNA". It matches the Rfam family "Bacterial small subunit ribosomal RNA", at positions 338 to 795 of the family's 1533-position model. The record is from RNAcentral.